UUGCGGCCUCGGUGUGAUAGACAUCUACGCCUUGGCUUAGCGCUUGUGGGGGUUCGCUUCGAACCGUCUCCUUGUGGGACAACGUGAAAACACGAAACUUGACCUCAGAUCAGGUGGGACUACCCGCUGAACUUAAGCAUAUCAAUAAGCGGAGGAAAAGAAACUAACAAGGAUUCCCCUAGUAACUGCGAGUGAAGCGGGAAAAGCUCAAAUUUAAAAUCUGGCGGUCUCUGGCCGUCCGAGUUGUAGUUUAGAGAAGCGUCUUCCGCGCUGGACCGUGUACAAGUCUCCUGGAACGGAGCGUCGUAGAGGGUGAGAAUCCCGUCUUUGACACGGACUGCCAGUGCUAUGCGAUGCGCUCUCGAAGAGUCGAGUUGUUUGGGAAUGCAGCUCAAAACGGGUGGUGAACUCCAUCUAAAGCUAAAUAUUGGCGAGAGACCGAUAGCGAACAAGUACCGUGAGGGAAAGAUGAAAAGCACUUUGGAAAGAGAGUGAAACAGUACGUGAAAUUGCUGAAAGGGAAACGCUUGAAGUCAGUCGUGUCUGCCGGGACUCAGCCUUGCUUCGGCCUGGUGUACUUCCUGGUGGACAGGCCAGCAUCGCUUUUGGUUGCUGGAAAAGGGCGGGGGGAAGGUGGCACCUUUGGGUGUGUUAUAGCCCCCCGUCGCAUGCAGUGGCUGGGAGCGAGGAACUCAGCGCGCCUUUGGUCGGGGUUCGCCCACGAUCGCGCUUAGGAUGCCGGCGUAAUGGCUUUAAACGACCCGUCUUGAAACACGGACCAAGGAG
This 786-nucleotide ribosomal RNA is filed under the name Vararia parmastoi. RNAcentral's name for it is "eukaryotic LSU rRNA". The stretch from base 100 to 786 matches the Rfam family "Eukaryotic large subunit ribosomal RNA", at positions 1 to 673 of the family's 3401-position model. Lineage: Eukaryota; Fungi; Basidiomycota; Agaricomycetes; Russulales; Lachnocladiaceae. The record is from RNAcentral.